CCUACGGGAGGCAGCAGUAGGGAAUAUUGCUCAAUGGGGGAAAGCCUGAAGCAGCAACGCCGCGUGGAGGAUGAAGGUUUUCGGAUUGUAAACUCCUUUUGUUAGAGAAGAUAAUGACGGUAUCUAACGAAUAAGCACCGGCUAACUCCGUGCCAGCAGCCGCGGUUAUACGGAGGUGUCAAGCGUUAAUCGGAAUGACUGGGCGUAAAGAGCGCGUAGGCGGGAUAGCAAGUCAGAUGGGAAAUCCUAUGGCUUAACCAUAGAAGUGCAUUUGAAACUGUUAUUCUAGAGUAUGGGAGAGGUAGGUGGAAUUCGUGGUGUAGGGGUAAAAUCCGUAGAGAUCAAGAGGAAUACUCAUUGCGAAGGCGACCUGCUGGAACAUAACUGACGCUGAUGCGCGAAAGCGUGGGGAGCAAACAGGAUUAGAUACCCCAGUAGUC
RNAcentral lists this ribosomal RNA (440 nucleotides) under uncultured bacterium. RNAcentral's name for it is "partial 16S ribosomal RNA". It matches the Rfam family "Bacterial small subunit ribosomal RNA", at positions 338 to 795 of the family's 1533-position model. The record is from RNAcentral.